Molecule: long non-coding RNA, 359 nt
Filed under: Elaeis guineensis (African oil palm)
Lineage: Eukaryota; Viridiplantae; Streptophyta; Magnoliopsida; Arecales; Arecaceae
Description: long non-coding RNA (EGUI_LNC012298)
Source: RNAcentral
GGCAUAGUACUGAUAUAGCACCAAGACAUAUGUUCCCAAGAGAUGAAUAAUCUUAUAGCAUUUGAUAAUAUGGACACUUUAUUUAUGACUAAUUACAACUAUCCAAGCCCAGGAAUUUCUUGGAAGUAAGAUUUAUUUUGUUUGACAUGAAUUGUAUCUGAAACAUGAAAAAAAAAUAAUGCGAGGAAGGAUAAAAUAACAAAAGAAACUGGUUUGCAGUGACCAGUGCUGAAAUUAGGUUGUGCUAGGACUCGGUUAUGAUCAAUUUUCAAGUUAUUAGUUUGUUGCAAAUCCAUUCCAUUUAUCAACACGAUUAGGAUAGGUUCUUGAGAGCCUUCCUGUAAGCCUUGAAAUUGUCA